GUGUCAGCAGCCGCGGUAAUACGGGGGGUGCAAGCGUUGUUCGGAAUUAUUGGGCGUAAAGAGCGUGUAGGCGGCUUGAUAAGUCAGAUGUGAAAGCCCUGGGCUUAACCCAGGAAGUGCAUUUGAAACUGUCUUGCUUGAGUAAGGGAGGGGGAAGUGGAAUUCCUGGUGUAGAGGUGAAAUUCGUAGAUAUCAGGAGGAACACCGGUGGCGAAGGCGACUUCCUGGCCCUAUACUGACGCUGAGACGCGAGAGCGUGGGUAGCAAACAGGAUUAGAUACCCCGGUAGUCC
RNAcentral lists this ribosomal RNA (292 nucleotides) under uncultured bacterium. RNAcentral describes it as "partial 16S ribosomal RNA". It matches the Rfam family "Bacterial small subunit ribosomal RNA", at positions 505 to 796 of the family's 1533-position model. The record is from RNAcentral.